Hordeum vulgare subsp. vulgare (domesticated barley) is the source of this 215-nucleotide non-coding RNA. The record is from Rfam. NCBI's taxonomy places the organism in Eukaryota, Viridiplantae, Streptophyta, Magnoliopsida, Poales, Poaceae.
GGGUCGCCGCGUGCCGGCCGGGGGACGGACCGGGAAUCGCCCCUUCGGGAGCUUUCCCCGAGCAGUGAACAGUCGACUCAGAACUGGUACGGACAAGGGGAAUCCGACUGUUUAAUUAAAACAAAGCAUUGCGAUGGUCCUCGCGGAUGCUGACGCAAUGUGAUUUCUGCCCAGUGCUCUGAAUAUGUCAAAGAGUGAAGAAUUCCAACCAAGCG